AUGAAAAACCUCUCCCUUGCAGCAUCACUCUCCUCGACUCGAUCUUUGGGCCGAAAAAAUACUGACGGUACUGAAAGCAUCGAAACGAUCGUUAGUACCUCAUCAAGGCACCCAAGUUGUUCGCCCAUCAAAAGCAUUUUGGCAAGUGGGGGAUCCAAUGGAAACUCAACCAUCUUCCACCCAAGUUCAGUCAAACCUCCUACAUUGUUAAGAGCCCCUAAUACCCACAACUGGUACAUGGAGUUGAGAAUGU
Molecule: unclassified non-coding RNA, 253 nt
Filed under: Hevea brasiliensis (rubber tree)
Lineage: Eukaryota; Viridiplantae; Streptophyta; Magnoliopsida; Malpighiales; Euphorbiaceae
Source: RNAcentral